Molecule: ribosomal RNA, 424 nt
Filed under: Escherichia coli
Lineage: Bacteria; Pseudomonadati; Pseudomonadota; Gammaproteobacteria; Enterobacterales; Enterobacteriaceae
Description: bacterial LSU rRNA
Rfam family: Bacterial large subunit ribosomal RNA
Source: RNAcentral
CUCGAUGUCGGCUCAUCACAUCCUGGGGCUGAAGUAGGUCCCAAGGGUAUGGCUGUUCGCCAUUUAAAGUGGUACGCGAGCUGGGUUUAGAACGUCGUGAGACAGUUCGGUCCCUAUCUGCCGUGGGCGCUGGAGAACUGAGGGGGGCUGCUCCUAGUACGAGAGGACCGGAGUGGACGCAUCACUGGUGUUCGGGUUGUCAUGCCAAUGGCACUGCCCGGUAGCUAAAUGCGGAAGAGAUAAGUGCUGAAAGCAUCUAAGCACGAAACUUGCCCCGAGAUGAGUUCUCCCUGACCCUUUAAGGGUCCUGAAGGAACGUUGAAGACGACGACGUUGAUAGGCCGGGUGUGUAAGCGCAGCGAUGCGUUGAGCUAACCGGUACUAAUGAACCGUGAGGCUUAACCUUACAACGCCGAAGGUGUUU